UACUACGAAAUUUGUAUGGAAUAGGAACAGCUUCCCUUCGUUUGCCGCUAGGGGCGUUGUUCCAACUCCAUACAAAUAUGAGUUA
This is a non-coding RNA of Bombyx mori (domestic silkworm), 85 nucleotides long. The record is from Rfam. Lineage: Eukaryota; Metazoa; Arthropoda; Insecta; Lepidoptera; Bombycidae.